CUUUGAGAUCUCCUAUGCUCUGGAUACCACCCAGUGUCUCAAUUGACUUCCUGUUGCCUGAAAGAUGUAGGACUCUCAGCUACUACUCCGUACCAUGCCUGCCUGCCUGCACACCACCAUACUCCCUGCCAUGAUGACAAUGGACUGAACCUCUGAAACUGAAGAACUUGGGGAUGUCGGAGUGGCUGCCUAUCCUCUGAAGUACUACACCAUCAUCCACAGACCUCGGGUUAACAUGAAGGUCACAUGGUGAAGGGUGCUAUUGAGACAGAGUACAUACAAACCAGAUAUAGCUUCUGCCUUAGGGGUAUGUGAUGAACUUCAGAAACACCAAUAAAUCACCAACUAUUAACACCAAUUGUGUAAGAACUAAGAAAAAGAAGUGCUAUGGAAGAUAAUAAAGGAUGUGUGCUUAAGCUGAGAAGUCAAAGGCAAGCAGGGAAGCAGUGUGGUCUGACCCUGGAACUUUUAGGGACAACUCUCUGAAGAAUCAAGAUGGCAUGUUUGUGAUUCCUUUGGCCUGUCACUUGUGUUAUUUUUCCUAGCAAUCACACAUUUUAAACGGU
This 566-nucleotide long non-coding RNA is filed under the name Cricetulus griseus (Chinese hamster). RNAcentral's name for it is "lncRNA (ENSCGRG00015039300.1)". Lineage: Eukaryota; Metazoa; Chordata; Mammalia; Rodentia; Cricetidae. The record is from RNAcentral.